GCAUUGGUAUUUUAGUGGUAGAAUACUCACCUACAAAUAUUUCGAGUGACCCAGGUUCGACUCCUGGCCGAUGCA
This 75-nucleotide transfer RNA is filed under the name Cotesia glomerata. RNAcentral describes it as "tRNA-Cys". It matches the Rfam family "tRNA". Rfam says of the family: Transfer RNA (tRNA) molecules are approximately 80 nucleotides in length. Their secondary structure includes four short double-helical elements and three loops (D, anti-codon, and T loops). Lineage: Eukaryota; Metazoa; Arthropoda; Insecta; Hymenoptera; Braconidae. The record is from RNAcentral.